RNAcentral lists this long non-coding RNA (267 nucleotides) under Callithrix jacchus (white-tufted-ear marmoset). RNAcentral's name for it is "lncRNA (ENSCJAG00000083775.1)". Lineage: Eukaryota; Metazoa; Chordata; Mammalia; Primates; Cebidae. The record is from RNAcentral.
CAGGGGAAAAGAUGUCUAUCACAGAUCUAUAGCUCUGGAAGCAAUAAUACAAAUGAGAGCUCAGAUGAGGGAUGACUUAUAGCAUUUUCCUAGCUCCCAAUUCAGCAUGUUUUCCACAAUAACAAGAUCAGGGUACAGACUGUGUGACAUUAUCUCUAUAGGAACACAACCUAAUCAUGUGGCACUAUGACACCAUGAGGCAAUGUGAAAAUGCAUUUUGGAAAAGAUAUUGAAUUUGUAUGCCAUAGACAAAAGGAAGCAAAUGCA